This is a long non-coding RNA of Cyprinodon variegatus (sheepshead minnow), 481 nucleotides long. RefSeq lists it as uncharacterized. The record is from RefSeq and is a predicted model, not a curated record. Lineage: Eukaryota; Metazoa; Chordata; Actinopteri; Cyprinodontiformes; Cyprinodontidae. The transcript has 3 exons.
AGAAAGACUCAAGUAGUAUGGAACAAGACUUGUUCACCACCAAGAUAAGAGCACUGGUGGGCUUGAUUCUUUUCAUUACUUGGUAUCUUCAGAAGACUGAAGGGUUUCCUCGUUUGAUCUCUAAAACUGAGCAUAAACCUGGCGAUAAUGUCACCUUCUCUUGUCAAUCGUCGAAGGACCACAGGUUCACUCAGUGGUAUAAACAGUCUCCUGGAAUGAUGGUCCAAACAAUGGCUUCAGCAGUUUAUGAUAGAGUCAAUCCGACUGAGCCUUUUGAUAACACACGUUUUCAUUUUCUCAGAGAAAAUGAUAAGUUAUCUCUAACCAUCUCUGCAAUUACCAAAGAAGAUGAAGCCACAUACUUCUGUCAAAGUGGAACCGAAUUUUUACAAACGUUUAUUAAAGGAUUCCUCUUAAUUGUAAAUGACUGUAAUCAACAGGAAACUGUUUAUGUGGAACAAAAUCCAGACAAUGCAUCGGC